CGGUAACACCGGCAGCCCGAGUGGUGAUCACUAUUAUUGGGUCUAAAGGGUCCGUAGCCGGCUUAAUCAGUCUUCUGGGAAAUCUAAUCGCUUAACUAUUAGGCCUCCAGGGGAUACUGUUAGACUUGGGACCGGGAGAGGUAAGAGGUACUGCAGGGGUAGGAGUGAAAUCUUGUAAUCCCUGUGAGACCACCAGUGGCGAAGGCGUCUUACCAGAACGGGUCCGACGGUGAGGGACGAAAGCUGGGGGCACGAACCGGAUUAGAUACCCGGGUAGUCCCAGCUGUAAACGAUGCUCGUUAGGUGUCAGGAACGGUGCGACUGUUUCUGGUGCCGAAGGGAAGCCGUGAAACGAGCCACCUGGGAAGUACGGCCGCAAGGCUGAAACUUAAAGGAAUUGGCGGGGGAGCACUACAACGGGUGGAGCCUGCGGUUUAAUUGGACUCAACGCCGGAAAACUCACCGGGGGCGACAGCAAUAUGUAGGUCAGGUUAAAGGUCUUACCUGAAUCGCUGAGAGGAGGUGCAUGGCCGUCGUCAGUUCGUACUGUGAAGCAUCCUGUUAAGUCAGGCAACGAGCAAGACCCGUGCCCACUGUUACCAGCAUAUCCUUUAUGGAUGAUGGGGACUCUGUGGGGACCGCUGCUGCUAAAGCAGAGGAAGGUGCGGGCUACGGUAGGUCAGUAUGCCCCGAAUCCCCCGGGCUACACGCGGGCUACAAUGGUUGGGACAAUGGGUAUCUACUCCGAAAGGAGUUGGCAAUCUCUUAACCCCAAUCGUAGUUCGAAUUGAGGGCUGUAACUCGCCCUCAUGAAGCUGGAAUCCGUAGUAAUCGCGUUUCAACAUAGCGCGU
RNAcentral lists this ribosomal RNA (852 nucleotides) under uncultured archaeon. RNAcentral's name for it is "bacterial SSU rRNA". It matches the Rfam family "Archaeal small subunit ribosomal RNA", at positions 468 to 1318 of the family's 1478-position model. The record is from RNAcentral.